Molecule: long non-coding RNA, 388 nt
Organism: Leptidea sinapis
Lineage: Eukaryota; Metazoa; Arthropoda; Insecta; Lepidoptera; Pieridae
Exons: 3
Source: RefSeq, a predicted model, not a curated record
UUCCUGAGUACCAUAAUAUAUUUUUGCAUCUCUUAUUCUUAUAGAAUGCUUUGAAAAUAUUACUACUUUGCUUUUGUCAAUACUGACCUCAAGACUAAGAUAUUGAAAAUAAAGCUCCAAUUUUUUGAGUGCUACAUUAAGAUCUAACACAACAUUUGAUAAAUUAAGUCCUGAACUAUACACUACUAGAUCAUCAGCAAAUUGGAGGGACAUUUAAGGAUAGAAGAAUGGAUGAUAAUUGUUCUAAAUCAACAUUAUUAAAUGCUCCCACAACAUCCAAAAAAACAGACUCUCACAAGCAGAACAACCACAUCGAAAUCUAAAUUGAUUAUUAGAUUACUGUGUGGAGUAUGGAAUUGAAGAAGAUUCAGUUUCCGACACUACCAUG